RNAcentral lists this ribosomal RNA (775 nucleotides) under uncultured Neocallimastigales. Its description in RNAcentral is "partial large subunit ribosomal RNA". It matches the Rfam family "Eukaryotic large subunit ribosomal RNA", at positions 22 to 634 of the family's 3401-position model. The record is from RNAcentral. Lineage: Eukaryota; Fungi; Neocallimastigomycota; Neocallimastigomycetes; Neocallimastigales.
CUAUACAUGACUCUGCGCAUAUCAAUAAGCGGAGGAAAAGAAACUAACAAGGAUUCCCUUAGUAACGGCGAGUGAAGCGGGAAGAGCUCAAAUUUGAAAUCUUCAAGGUUUUACCUUGACGAAUUGUAGUUUAAAGAAGUGUUUUCUGCUGAAGUUUUGGUAAAAGUUCUUUGGAAUAGGACAUCAUAGAGGGUGAGAAUCCCGUAUUUGACCAUUAUUUUCAGCUUUGUGAUACACUUUCAAAGAGUCGGAUUGUUUGGGAAUGCAGUCCAAAAUGGGUGGUAAAUUUCAUCUAAAGCUAAAUAUUGGCGAGAGACCGAUAGCGAACAAGUACCGUGAGGGAAAGAUGAAAAGAACUUUGAAAAGAGAGUUAAACAGUACGUGAAAUUGUCCAAAAGGGAAGCGUUUGACACCAGUGUUGUUUUCUCGAAAAUCAAUUAAAAAUGGCUCGAUUUUGUAUUGUUGAGACCUUAAAAGCUCACUGUACAUUUUUCGUGUCUUUUUUAAUGCACUUUUCGUUUAACAAGUCAACAUCAGUUUCUUUUGUUGUAAAAGGGUCAUUGGAAGGUGGCUUUCUUUUCGGAGAAAGUGUUUAUAGCCUUUGGCCUCUGCAAUCGGAGAGACUGAGGUCUGCAGCGUAGACUCUUCGGGGUUAGAUACAUUUGUGCUAAGUUAUAGCUUUUUAUAGACAACUUGUUGACUAUAAUUAGUCUUGUAGCUUACUCGCUUAUGCUAUUUUACCUACGCUUAGGAUGUUGAAGAUGUAGCACAUCAU